AUGUAGUGUAGCAUGCCCGUUUGGUGCUUAACACUGAUGAUUUUAUUUAUACUUUGAUAUAUUUGGGAUAUCGGGGUGUUACAAAAAA
RNAcentral lists this microRNA precursor (88 nucleotides) under Medicago truncatula (barrel medic). Its description in RNAcentral is "MIR2617 microRNA precursor family". It matches the Rfam family "MIR2617 microRNA precursor family". The record is from Rfam by way of RNAcentral. Lineage: Eukaryota; Viridiplantae; Streptophyta; Magnoliopsida; Fabales; Fabaceae.